Molecule: ribosomal RNA, 482 nt
Filed under: uncultured bacterium
Lineage: Bacteria
Description: bacterial SSU rRNA
Rfam family: Bacterial small subunit ribosomal RNA
Source: RNAcentral
AGCGAACGCUGGCGGCAGGCUUAACACAUGCAAGUCGAGCGGGCCCUUCGGGGUCAGCGGCAGACGCGUGAGUAACACGUGGGAACGUACCCUUUGGUUCGGAAUAACGCUGGGAAACUAGCGCUAAUACCGGAUACCCCCUUUUGGGGAAAGGCUUGCUGCCGAAGGAUCGGCCCGCGUCUGAUUAGCUAGUUGGUGGGGUAAUGGCCUACCAAGGCGACGAUCAGUAGCUGGUCUGAGAGGAUGAUCACCCACACUGGGACUGAGACACGGCCCACACUCCUACGGGAGGCAGCAGUGGGGAAUAUUGGACAAUGGGCGCAAGCCUGAUCCAGCCAUGCCGCGUGAGUGAUGAAGGCCUUAGGGUUGUAAAGCUCUUUUGUCCGGGACGAUAAUGACGGUACCGGAAGAAUAACCCCCGGCUUACUUCGUGCCAGCAGCCGCGGUAAUACGAAGGGGGCUAGCGUUGCUCGGAAUCACUG